UCUCUGAAGAGCUGACAAGAAGCGAGCGUCAUGAUCUUGAAGCGAUAGGUUCAACAUCACCUGAGCCUGCAGGCACAAAGGAUAGAAGUAGUCCUACUGAAGUCCUUACAAUACCUAGGCCGUUGACUCCAACGGCGAUAGAGUCACCGCCAUGUGAACAUGCCUACCAAGUCACACAUGAUUUGGUAACAGAGACAGAGACAGUUGCUUUGUCAUCAUCGACAGUGUCCGUCCAUCCGGUAGAGUCUGCAGCAGAGAGGACAAU
Molecule: long non-coding RNA, 265 nt
Organism: Strongylocentrotus purpuratus (purple sea urchin)
Lineage: Eukaryota; Metazoa; Echinodermata; Echinoidea; Camarodonta; Strongylocentrotidae
Exons: 3
Source: RefSeq, a predicted model, not a curated record